CAGUAGCCGCGGUAAUACGAAGGGGGCUAGCGUUGUUCGGAAUUACUGGGCGUAAAGCGCACGUAGGCGGACUUUUAAGUCAGGGGUGAAAUCCCGGGGCUCAACCUCGGAACUGCCUUUGAUACUGGAAGUCUUGAGUGUGGAAGAGGUAAGUGGAAUUGCGAGUGUAGAGGUGAAAUUCGUAGAUAUUCGCAGGAACACCAGUGGCGAAGGCGGCUUACUGGUCCACAACUGACGCUGAGGUGCGAAAGCGUGGGGAGCAAACAGGAUUAGAUACCCCGGUAGUCCCUGUCUCUUAUAC
Molecule: ribosomal RNA, 301 nt
Filed under: uncultured bacterium
Lineage: Bacteria
Description: partial 16S ribosomal RNA
Rfam family: Bacterial small subunit ribosomal RNA
Source: RNAcentral